UGCGUAGGCGGUUUACUAAGUCAGAUGUGAAAGCCCCGGGCUUAACCUGGGAACUGCAUUUGAUACUGGUAGGCUAGAGUAUGAUAGAGGGGGGUAGAAUUCCUGGUGUAGCGGUGAAAUGCGUAGAUAUCAGGAGGAAUACCAGUGGCGAAGGCGGCCCCCUGGAUCAAUACUGACGCUGAGGUACGAAAGCGUGGGUAGCGAACA
Molecule: ribosomal RNA, 207 nt
Filed under: uncultured bacterium
Lineage: Bacteria
Description: partial 16S ribosomal RNA
Rfam family: Bacterial small subunit ribosomal RNA
Source: RNAcentral